This 457-nucleotide ribosomal RNA is filed under the name uncultured bacterium. RNAcentral's name for it is "bacterial SSU rRNA". It matches the Rfam family "Bacterial small subunit ribosomal RNA", at positions 340 to 786 of the family's 1533-position model. The record is from RNAcentral.
UACGGGAGGCAGCAGUGGGGAAUAUUGCACAAUGGGCGAAAGCCUGAUGCAGCUAUGCCGCGUGUAUGAAGAAGGCCUUAGGGUUGUAAAGUACUUUCAUCGGGGAGGAAAAACAAAACUAAUAAUUUUAUUUCUUGACGUUACCCGAAAAAGAAGCACCGGCUAACUCCGUGCCAGCAGCCGCGGUAAUACGGAGGGUGCUAGCGUUAAUCAGAAUUACUGGGCGUAAAGAGCACGUAGGUGGUUUUUUUAAGUCAGAUGUGAAAUCCCUGGGCUUAACCUGGAACUGCAUUUUGAAACUGAAAUACUAGAGUAUCGUAGAGGGAGGUAGAAUUCUAGGUGUAGCGGUGAAAUGCGUAGAUAUCUGGAGGAAUACCUGUGGCGAAAGCGGCCUCCUAAACGAAUACUGACACUGAGGGUGCGAAAGCGUGGGGAGCGAAACAGGGAUUAGGAUACC